Molecule: ribosomal RNA, 492 nt
Filed under: uncultured bacterium
Lineage: Bacteria
Description: partial 16S ribosomal RNA
Rfam family: Bacterial small subunit ribosomal RNA
Source: RNAcentral
AGUGAACGCUGGCGGUAGGCCUAACACAUGCAAGUCGAACGGCAGCACAGUAAGAGCUUGCUCUUACGGGUGGCGAGUGGCGGACGGGUGAGGAAUACAUCGGAAUCUACUUUUUCGUGGGGGAUAACGUAGGGAAACUUACGCUAAUACCGCAUACGACCUACGGGUGAAAGCAGGGGAUCUUCGGACCUUGCGCGAUUGAAUGAGCCGAUGUCGGAUUAGCUAGUUGGCGGGGUAAAGGCCCACCAAGGCGACGAUCCGUAGCUGGUCUGAGAGGAUGAUCAGCCACACUGGAACUGAGACACGGUCCAGACUCCUACGGGAGGCAGCAGUGGGGAAUAUUGGACAAUGGGCGCAAGCCUGAUCCAGCCAUACCGCGUGGGUGAAGAAGGCCUUCGGGUUGUAAAGCCCUUUUGUUGGGAAAGAAAAGCAGCAGGUUAAUACCCCGCUGUUCUGACGGUACCCAAAGAAUAAGCACCGGCUGACUUCGUG